UACGUAGGGUGCAAGCGUUGCCCCGGAUUUAUUGGGCGUAAAGGGCGCGUAGGCGGUCACGCACGUCCGUUGUGAAAUCGCUCGGCUCAACUGGGCGGGGUCAGCGGAUACGGCGUAGCUGGAGCAAGCUAGGGGGCAUGGAAUUCCCGGUGUAGUGGUGGAAUGCGUAGAUAUCGAGAGGAACACCUGCGGCGAAGGCGGGGUUGCUGGGCUGAUACUGACGCUGAGGCGCGAAAGCCAGGGGAGCGAACGGG
This 254-nucleotide ribosomal RNA is filed under the name uncultured bacterium. RNAcentral's name for it is "partial 16S ribosomal RNA". It matches the Rfam family "Bacterial small subunit ribosomal RNA", at positions 524 to 776 of the family's 1533-position model. The record is from RNAcentral.